Molecule: small nuclear RNA, 23 nt
Filed under: Arabidopsis thaliana (thale cress)
Lineage: Eukaryota; Viridiplantae; Streptophyta; Magnoliopsida; Brassicales; Brassicaceae
Description: snRNA_08402
Source: RNAcentral
AUACAUGAAUAGUAAUUACCUUC